GCCAGUGUGGUAUAGUGGAUUAAGUGUUCGACUAAAACUCUGGAGAUCAGGGUUUGAUUCCCUGCUCAACCA
Non-coding RNA from Phrynosoma platyrhinos (Desert horned lizard), 72 nucleotides. NCBI's taxonomy places the organism in Eukaryota, Metazoa, Chordata, Lepidosauria, Squamata, Phrynosomatidae. The record is from the annotation of a GenBank genome assembly.